RNAcentral lists this ribosomal RNA (482 nucleotides) under uncultured bacterium. Its description in RNAcentral is "partial 16S ribosomal RNA". It matches the Rfam family "Bacterial small subunit ribosomal RNA", at positions 30 to 507 of the family's 1533-position model. The record is from RNAcentral.
AUUGAACGCUGGCGGCAUGCUUUACACAUGCAAGUCGAACGGUAACAGGCCGCAAGGUGCUGACGAGUGGCGGACGGGUGCGUAAUGCAUCGGAACGUGCCCAGUCGUGGGGGAUAACUACUCGAAAGAGUAGCUAAUACCACAUCCGAUCUAUGGAUGAUAGCGGGGGACAGGAGGGCAAAGGGCGAUUGGGCAGGACGACGUCAGGUUAGUUAGUUGGUGGGGUAAGGUCUCACCAAGCCACCGAUCUGUGGCGGGGCUAAGAGGACGACCAGCCACACUGGAACUGAGACACGGCCCAGACUCCUACGGGAGGCAGCAGUGGGGAAUUUUGGACAAUGGGCGCAAGCCUGAUCCGGCAAUGCCGCGUGCAGGAAGAAGGCCUUCGGGUUGUAAACUGCUUUUGUACGGAACGAAACGGCUCUGGUUAAUACCCGGAGCUAAUGACGGUACCGUAAGAAUAAGCACCGGCUAACUACGUG